Molecule: small RNA, 1137 nt
Filed under: Pan troglodytes (chimpanzee)
Lineage: Eukaryota; Metazoa; Chordata; Mammalia; Primates; Hominidae
Description: processed transcript
Source: RNAcentral
UUUCCUUUCUCGUUCCCCGGCCAUCUUAGCGGCUGCUGUUGGUUGGGGGCCGUCCCGCACCUAAGGCAGGAAGAUGGUGGCCGCAAAGAAGACGAAAAAGUCGCUGGAGUCGAUCAACUCUAGGCUCCAACUCGUUAUGAAAAGUGGGAAGUACGUCCUGGGGUACAAGCAGACUCUGAAGAUGAUCAGACAAGGCAAAGCGAAAUUGGUCAUUCUGGCAAACAACUGCCCAGCUUUGAGAGUUUUGCUGUGUUGCCCAGGCUGGAGUACAAUGGCACGAUCUUGGCUUACUGCAACUUCUGCCUCCCAGGUUCAAGUGAUUCUCCUGCCUCAGCCUCCCAAGUAUCUGGGAUUACAGGCACAUACCACCAUGCCUGGCUAAUUUUUGUAUUUUUAGUAGAGACGGGGUUUCACCAUCUUGGCCAAGCUGAUUUCGAACUCCUGACCUUGUGAUCCACCCACCUUGGCCUCCAAAAUGUUGGAAUUACAGGCGUGAGCCACCGCGCUGGGCCAGAUGAUCUCAUUUCAAACAAUCCAUAAUCUGUGAUAAACAUUCUGUUUUAUAUAUCAAGCAGCUGUCUAAUCUUUCAAAGUGAGGCACAACAAUAUAAGCAUGUAGAGACACACACAUGCAAAACUAUUUCUAUGCCUGGCCAGUAUAACAUGUUUAAUGUCAUAGUGUGUGUGGUGUGUGUGUGUGUGUGUGUGUGUGCGCGCGUGAGUGCGCACAUGUUGGGGGAUUGGGUUCUUCUGUUUCUCCAUUAAGUGCUUUUCCUCAUCACUCAACCUAUCGAUCUUUUAUUAGUGAAAGAGGAAAAGGCCAACUCAAAGCUUCAUUUACAUUCAUAGUCUGUUCCUGAGUGAACCAAAAAAAGACUCAGGCAGCAUGCAUGUGGCUCUUCAGCAGAUUUCAAAAAUACUGAAAUAAUUUUCCAGCAGUGAGUCUGUUUUCUCCUCCUUUCUGUACACAUUUUUCUUACAGAACAAAACUAGCACUUGCAACCCCCACACACAGAAUGGCAUCCAGAAGGCUUCUCCAGGAAACACAAAACAAGGUAGAGUGGAAAAGCAUCAGGGAGAGCAGGGCCCAGGUAUUUGCUUUCAGACACAGGAAGGACAGCCCCACUUGUUAGCUAU